RNAcentral lists this ribosomal RNA (503 nucleotides) under uncultured bacterium. RNAcentral describes it as "partial 16S ribosomal RNA". It matches the Rfam family "Bacterial small subunit ribosomal RNA", at positions 28 to 523 of the family's 1533-position model. The record is from RNAcentral.
GAUGAACGCUAGCGGCAGGCCUAACACAUGCAAGUCGAAGGGUAGCAGGAUUAAGCUUGCUUAAUUGCUGACGACCGGCGCACGGGUGCGUAACGCGUAUGCAACCUACCUUAUACUGGGGUAUAGCCCGGAGCAAUUCGGAUUAAUCCCCCAUAGUACUAAUGAAUCGCAUGGUUUAUUAGUUAAAGCAUUGCGGUAUAAGAUGGGCAUGCGUACUAUUAGCUAGAUGGUGAGGUAACGGCUCACAAAGGCUACGAUAGGUAGGGGGCCUGAGAGGGUGGUCCCCCACACUGGUACUGAGACACGGACCAGACUCCUACGGGAGGCAGCAGUGAGGAAUAUUGGUCAAUGGGCGCAAGCCUGAACCAGCCAUGCCGCGUGCAGGAAGAAUGCCCUAUGGGUUGUAAACUGCUUUUAUUUGGGAAUAAACCUCUUUACGUGUAGAGAGCUGAAGGUACCAAAUGAAUAAGCACCGGCUAACUCCGUGCCAGCCGCCGCGGUAA